ACUCCUACGGGAGGCAGCAGUGGGGAAUAUUGCACAAUGGGCGAAAGCCUGAUGCAGCAACGCCGCGUGAGGGAUGACGGCCUUCGGGUUGUAAACCUCUUUUGUCCGGGACGAUAAUGACGGUACCGGAAGAAUAAGCCCCGGCUAACUUCGUGCCAGCAGCCGCGGUAAU
Molecule: ribosomal RNA, 172 nt
Filed under: uncultured bacterium
Lineage: Bacteria
Description: partial 16S ribosomal RNA
Rfam family: Bacterial small subunit ribosomal RNA
Source: RNAcentral